Cucurbita moschata (crookneck pumpkin) is the source of this 576-nucleotide long non-coding RNA. RefSeq lists it as uncharacterized. The transcript is spliced from 2 exons. The record is from RefSeq and is a predicted model, not a curated record. Lineage: Eukaryota; Viridiplantae; Streptophyta; Magnoliopsida; Cucurbitales; Cucurbitaceae.
CUGAUAUGCCAACUUGAGAUAUCGUAAGCAUAGCUCAAUAGGUUAAGAUAUAUAUCUUCGACCAAAAGGUCAUGUCCACACAGCUAGGGAUGAUCUUCUAGCAGGUCGUGAACUGUUGUUUCGUGAAAAUUUAAAUUAGGUGUACGUCAAAGAAUUCUCAACAUCUGAAAUUUAGUAACAGAGCAACAAUUGAAAUACAAAAUGAAUAUAGCGGUAUGUCCAUAAUACUGCAUAUAACAUGUAGAGAUGGCAUAAAAGCUAAAAUAGCCGACCUUUUGUAAAGUAAUUGAAGUAUCCAGCUCAAUAAGAACACCUGGACCACAAACAAGACAAGUCCUUAUCUUUUACAAACUCUGUCACUUUAGUGUGGAGACCUUCGGCACCAUUAUAUCUGGAAAUGGAUCACUUGACAUUAAAUUCUAUGCACUUGGAAAUUAAGUGCAUAAAUAAAAGGAAGUAAUGGAACAGUAUCAAAGGCUAUCAGAAAUGCAAGCCUAGCACUUGGAAAUUUGUUGCAUUGAAAAUUGUCUCAUUCACCGCAAGCCUAGCUUCAACUUGUCAUAAAAACUUAAUAAA